This 86-nucleotide transfer RNA is filed under the name Felis catus (domestic cat). It matches the Rfam family "tRNA". From Rfam's summary of the family: Transfer RNA (tRNA) molecules are approximately 80 nucleotides in length. Their secondary structure includes four short double-helical elements and three loops (D, anti-codon, and T loops). The record is from Rfam by way of RNAcentral. Lineage: Eukaryota; Metazoa; Chordata; Mammalia; Carnivora; Felidae.
GCCCGGGUGGCUCAGUCGGUUGAGCGUCCUACUUCGGCUCAAGGUCAUGAUCUCACAGCUCGUGGGUUCGAGCCCCACAUCGGGCU